UGGGGUGCAGGAUGGAUGGAUGCCACUUAUGAUUUUGACUAAACCCUAAACCGACUUAAUAUUAGGGGUAUUUCUCCAAUGUUUCCCCCGUGCGGUGAAAAAAGAAACAUUGUAGACUUUGCAUAUGUUGACAUCCACGGUAUCCAUGGAGUGGUUUGCAGGUGAGGUUGCCUACAUCAUUAUCCACAUGAUGACUAGCGAUUCACUUUCUCCUCGCCUCUCAACCUACUCCCCACCU
RNAcentral lists this long non-coding RNA (238 nucleotides) under Glycine max (soybean). RNAcentral describes it as "long non-coding RNA (GMAX_LNC002903)". The record is from RNAcentral. Lineage: Eukaryota; Viridiplantae; Streptophyta; Magnoliopsida; Fabales; Fabaceae.